UGGGGAAUAUUGGACAAUGGGCGAAAGCCUGAUCCAGCAAUGCCGCGUGUGUGAAGAAGGUUUUCGGAUUGUAAAGCACUUUCGGCGGGGACGAUGAUGACGGUACCCGCAGAAGAAGCCCCGGCUAACUUCGUGCCAGCAGCCGCGGUAAUACGAAGGGGGCUAGCGUUGCUCGGAAUGACUGGGCGUAAAGGGCGCGUAGGCGGUUUGAUGAGUUGGGCGUGAAAUUCCUGGGCUUAACCUGGGGGCUGCGUUCAAUACCAUCAGACUUGAGUGUGGAAGAGGGUCGUGGAAUUCCCAGUGUAGAGGUGAAAUUCGUAGAUAUUGGGAAGAACACCGGUGGCGAAGGCGGCGACCUGGUCCAUUACUGACGCUGAGGCGCGAAAGCGUGGGGAGCAAACAGGAUUAGAUACCCCCGUAGUCC
RNAcentral lists this ribosomal RNA (424 nucleotides) under uncultured bacterium. Its description in RNAcentral is "bacterial SSU rRNA". It matches the Rfam family "Bacterial small subunit ribosomal RNA", at positions 355 to 796 of the family's 1533-position model. The record is from RNAcentral.